RNAcentral lists this ribosomal RNA (343 nucleotides) under Syngnathoides biaculeatus (alligator pipefish). RNAcentral's name for it is "partial 12S ribosomal RNA". It matches the Rfam family "Bacterial small subunit ribosomal RNA", at positions 875 to 1359 of the family's 1533-position model. Lineage: Eukaryota; Metazoa; Chordata; Actinopteri; Syngnathiformes; Syngnathidae. The record is from RNAcentral.
UGAUUCAUCUUACCCUUAAUCCGCCCGGGGACUACAAGUAUUAACUUAAAACCCAAAGGACUUGGCGGUGCUUUAGACCCACCUAGAGGAGCCUGUUCUAGAACUGAUAACCCCCGUUAAACCUCACCCUCCCUUGUUAUUCCCGCCUAUAUACCGCCGUCGUCAGCUUACCCUUUGAGGGCAUCAAAGUGAGCAUAAUUGGCACACCCCAAAACGUCAGGUCGAGGUGUAGUACAUGGGAGGGGAAGAAAUGGGCUACAUUCGUCCACCGACGAACAACGAAUGAUCUAUUGAAAUAUAGACCUAAAGGAGGAUUUAGUAGUAAAAGGAAAACAGAGUGUUC